GAGCGAUGAGGACAACAACGCACUUUGUGAUGCUGGGCGCAUCACGACGGUCAGAUUAUCAACUGACAUUACCAGCGUUCCUGAGCUC
Phoenix dactylifera (date palm) is the source of this 88-nucleotide non-coding RNA. Lineage: Eukaryota; Viridiplantae; Streptophyta; Magnoliopsida; Arecales; Arecaceae. The record is from RefSeq and is a predicted model, not a curated record.